Molecule: long non-coding RNA, 1280 nt
Organism: Chenopodium quinoa (quinoa)
Lineage: Eukaryota; Viridiplantae; Streptophyta; Magnoliopsida; Caryophyllales; Amaranthaceae
Exons: 3
Source: RefSeq, a predicted model, not a curated record
UGUUCCUUCUGUUGGCUGAUAAGUACCUUUUGUUGGCUGAUAUACUCCUCUUGUUAGCUGAUAUGUAUCUUUUAUAGGCUAAUAUAUUCCUUUUGUUGACUGAUACAUUUUUAUUAAUGUCUUUAACGUUGGUUGAUACAAAAUAUCAAUUGGCUGAUAUAUUACAUGUAUUAGCUGAUUGUACAAAGUAUAUACAAGUAGUAUUUUUAUUUCAUUUUCUCUCCUCUCUUUCCCCCUCUUCCUCUCUUUCUUUUUCUCUCCUGUUAGCAGAUUCACAAUCACGCCACCCCUCAUUCUCUCUCCUUCUCCUUCGUUUCUCACUUCCCUUUCCUCCUCAAAUCAGUCCGGCCACCGAUCCUCGCCACGCCGUUUCGCCGCCGCCGUUCACCGAACCCAGGCCACCACACCCACAAACCACCAAAGCUAGGCCACCGCACCCACAAACCACCGAAUCCAAGUCACCGCACCCACUACCAGCGAACUCCACUAGCGAAUCGCACCACCACCGGCAAACUCCACCAGGGAAUCGCACCUCCGCAGCCACCUGCACCAGCGAAUCGCACCUCCCGUGCGAUCUUGAAUCAAAGGACGGUCGCCGUCGCCGGAGAAUUUAUUCUUCAUCUCCUCCGUCGUCGUCCUCGUCUCUAACAAUUGGUGGAACUUGGAAGGAUGUGAGUUGCCGCACGAAAUAUUGGGUGCUAAAAAAAAAAAAAAAAAAAAGAGGUAUAAUAAAUUUAAAAUUCUCAACAAAAUGAUCUAAGAUGUUACUUAAAUUGUGAUUUGGGCACUCAUGUUGCAUUAUAUUAGUCACAACAAAUGUUUUAAUACUACUUGCCUCGCUUAUUUGCUAUGUGGUUCGAAAUUUCUUGUGUUAAAAGAGGAGAUAGUAGUGCUGUAAAGGCCAAUAUUAGCUUCAGCUCCAUGAUAGACAUGUUGAAUGUUGUCAUAUUGAUAAUGUCAUGAGAAUUGAUUACUUGGUAAUUAGUUUUAAACAUUUGGUAAGUGAGUUGAUGAUGUGUGAAAUUAGAUCCAUUGUAUAGACUAAAGAUGCAACUUUAGUAACUAGUAAGGUGAUAUAACAUACAAAUUUAAGUACAACAAAGUCUAUUUGCCAAAUAUGUGUUUUUUUUUUUUUGGGUGUUCCACCGGUUCACCCUUUGGGGUUAAUCUGAAUUUGAGGAUCAGUUCUAAGUGGUUAGGUUUCAGUCCCCUCCCAAUUGUUGUUGCGGGGAUAGAACACGUGGUCCUCCCUACCAAGUGUAGCCCCAAUCACCACUACA